Molecule: small nuclear RNA, 18 nt
Filed under: Arabidopsis thaliana (thale cress)
Lineage: Eukaryota; Viridiplantae; Streptophyta; Magnoliopsida; Brassicales; Brassicaceae
Description: snRNA_16523
Source: RNAcentral
CUACUCUUUUGCAACAAU